The sequence is a ribosomal RNA, 537 nucleotides long. It matches the Rfam family "Eukaryotic small subunit ribosomal RNA", at positions 620 to 1119 of the family's 1831-position model.
UAAAAAGCUCGUAGUUGGAUCUGUGUAUCGGACGGUCGGUUCGCCGCUCGCGGCGUUUAACUGACCGGUCCGGACGUCCUGCCGGUGGGCGGCGGUCCUCCGCGGCCGCGGCCCGUAACUCCCUCCGCGCUGCUCUUAACCGAGUGGUUCGGUGGGCCGGCACGUUUACUUUGAACAAAUUUGAGUGCUCAAAGCAGGCCUUGCGUCGCCUGAAAACUGUGUGCAUGGAAUAAUGGAAUAGGGCCUUGGUUCUAUUUUGUUGGCUUUUCUGAACUCGAGGUAAUGAUUAAUAGGGACAGACGGGGGCAUUCGUAUUGCGACGUUAGAGGUGAAAUUCUUGGAUCGUCGCAAGACGAACGGAUGCGAAAGCGUUUGCCAAGAAUGUUUUCGCUAAUCAAGAACGAAAGUUAGAGGUUCGAAGGCGAUCAGAUACCGCCCUAGUUCUAACCAUAAACGAUGCCAGCCAGCGAUGCGCCGAAGUUCCUCCGAUGACUCGGCGCGCAGCUUCCGGGAAACCAAAGCUUUUGGGUUCCGGGG